Molecule: long non-coding RNA, 5843 nt
Organism: Drosophila guanche
Lineage: Eukaryota; Metazoa; Arthropoda; Insecta; Diptera; Drosophilidae
Exons: 2
Source: RefSeq, a predicted model, not a curated record
AAGAAUAAGCAAACUGAUGAAAAAUCGCUGUAGUGCAAAAGCAAAAACUAAGAACAAAAACAAAUUGUAAACGAACAUUGAAUCUUAUUUAAUUUUAAGCCAAGUUUUGCAGCAGACGAACAAAAAGACAAUUCUCAAAUACAUGAACAUUAACUACCACAAAACAACAACAACAACAACAACAACAACAACAACAAGAACAGCAAUGCCACAACAAAUACAAAAAUAUACGAGUACAUACAUAAUACUACAAUUAUUUGAUCUUAAAGCAAAAGAAAACCCAGAAUACCAAAACCGAAAAAACAAAUAAAUGAAAAACUUAAACUUAUACACAAAAGAAACUCGAACGAAAACCUUGUUUUAUUUAAGAGCAAACUUCGAUUCCUUCGAUUUCAACUCACUUUACUCACUCUGCCUAUACCUUUAUCAUAUUUACAGUUAGCAACUACAACAACAACAACAACAACAACAACAACAGCUACAACAACAACAACAUUUAAACAACAACUAAAGAUAGAGUUCAGUUAGUGGCCGCAUUACAACAGCAACAACAACAGCACCACAGUCACCAAGCCCCCAAAAAUAUAUCUACAUAUAGAAAAAACCUCCUAAAAACCACCAAAAACCAAUCCAACAACAGUAACAACCACCUCCAUCACAACUACAACAACAACAACAACAACAAAACCAGAACAAGAACAAUAACAAUAACAAUUCUAAGAAUUAAUUAAGUCGCGAGCCAAUUGAUUGUCCUUUAUUAAAUUCUAUUUUGUUUCGUAUGUUUGUAUAAUAGUUUGCCAAUUUGUUGCUCUUGGAUACUACUCAGUUAAGCCUCACUUCUGUUUCCUCCUGCAUGCGGUAAGUAAUUACGAACCAGCAAUUACGAACCAUUUCAUUGCAUACCACACGAACCAAAGAAAAAAAUCGAAAAACUCUCGAUCAGGAAUGUUAAACAGAUCACUGAAAGGAAGGGUGGUGGUGCCUUGGAGUCAAACUUUCGAGCAGUUUUUACAUUUCUGCCUAUAUGUAAUGCAGCCUAAAAAUCUAAACUUCGGGUUCUAUUUGUUCAUAUGGUUUAGCCAAUGCAUAACCAAUCCAAGUCAUACAAUGUUAUUCAAUAUUUUACUCUCUAUAUUUCAACCGUGAAUCGUUGGAAAAAUUAAAUAAAGUUCCAUAAUGAAGCGAGCGUAAUAAUCUAAUUUAGCAUCGAACCAUUAGCUGCUGGUAGUGGGCAUGCAAUACAAUACAUUAAUUAAAUCCAGCCAUUCGACAAACCAUCUAGUGAUUUCAAAUGAACACAGCACAGACUUCGCCCUUUCAUGAAUCUGGUCUUUGGUCUUUUAGAUGUUUGAUAAUUUCGGCGUAAAUCGACUCGACAAAUGUUUGAACUGUUUGUUUUGUGCCCCAUCUUCCCCUAAUCGUUUUCUGGUUGAAUGAUUUUUUUGAAUUGCAUUUAGCAUUGUUUAAUUAAAAGGCCUGACCGCCUGGCCGCAUGCCUGCCGGCCGUGCCUCUCUUCCGACCCACCUAAUCUGAGGGAAAACUUUUUUAAGCCCACCCCGCUACGAUUGGAAGCAGCAGCAUUACCGGAAAGAAGGGUCAAUCGUUGGUUCAGAUAAUCAUUUAUCAGCCGACUUGGGGCACAUGCGUGCAGCCAAUCCGGCAGAGCCACCCAUCUGAACAAGGCUGAAGCAGUCAUCUAAAUGCCAAAGCCAUGUCUUUGGCCGUGGCUCUCUGUUUGUGGCUCAAUAAAUUAUUUACUUAAGCUCAACCCUAUGCAAAGUAGCAGAUUGUCCAUUGGUAAUCCUUUGUCUAUUAUUUCAUUUCGAAUCCAGACAGGAGAACGAGAAACCAAACGACUUACACAAAUAUUCCAUUUAAAAUGCAUUGCGUUUGGCUUUGUUCAUCUCGGGUCUUAGCCCAGACAGUUUUCCUUCCAUUGUCAUUCCGUUGAGCCCGUUGUUUUCCCUUUUUCCCCCUUUCAAUGGGUUAAGCCUGUAUUUACCUAUGCUCCAUUUAUUCUGUUUCAGCAGAGACCACAAUGCUGUACCAGUAGAGAGAUAAAUGUACAUACAUAAAUGCACUGCUGUUUCUUUAUUUAUCUGCCAGGACUAAUAUUAUUUCAGUUAUUUUUUGCUGUCUUGUAGUUGGCGUUAAAUUGCACUUCACAUGUCCGGACCAUGCCUGUGGCCGGACUGAUUGAUUGAUUGCAGUGGCUGGCGCUCGGGCAGCCAUGACAAAUGCCAAACUGUUUGUCCACCCGAAUAUGCAGCAAAGUGAAAUAGUUCAAAUAAAUAAAUUGCACUUGCGCAAAAGUGUUUUUGGAUUGGCAGCAAAAUAUGUCUAAAAAAUGGCUAAAUAUUCGAGUUUUCGCCGUCAUAUACCUUCUGUCGCUUCAUGUAAUGCAUUUCUAGAACUCAUUUCCAAGAGCUUAUUGACUGAUAAUCUUCACAGUUACAUACAUAGACACACACACAUACACGUACACGUACACGUACACGUACACGUACAUGAAAGGUAAUGCCUGGAGGAGGGGUUGGAGAGAAAGGCUAAUAGAAGGAAGCACUCGAAAUGCAAGCAAAGGGACCAAAUAUGAGUUGCCACAUUAAGAUGAUUGAGAUUUUAUGAUUGUUUCGUUAAAGUUUCAUUUUGUUAGGGAUGACAUAACACAGAUUUAACAUAUAGCCUUGAUAUACGAGUGUGCGUGUGAGUCCUUGAACAUUUAUGGGAUAAACACUCGCUGGAAGCUUUGUUGGAAACAAAGUCCAAUUGUAAAUAACGACAGCCAAUGACCACAAAAUGUAAAUUAAAAUGUUGAAAAUCGUUUGUAAUCCUAAAAUUAAAGGACAUCCAAAAGUGUCUGCACAUGAUUAUAGCCAGCUUUGGGGGUUCAUUUGCUUUGUAUGUAUCAUUUAUUUUGUAUUUUUAUAAAUGCUUUGCAGGGAAGUGUGAAAAGUAUGCAAACAAUUGUAAAAUAAAACUCCCACAGAAGAAAUGAAAACACAUUAUAGGUACACAUAGGUAUAAAUAUAAGUGAAACAUACACGGAAAGAUGUUGAAAAUGAUUCUCUGUAAUUUGCUCAAUUCACUUUUCCAAGUGAUUUAUUCCCAUUUCUUAUCCAGUAUUUCCGUGCAUCACAAAUGUACUCAAUGUAUGUAGGUAUGUACUCCUAAGCCAAACACACACACACACACAUAAAGGCAUACAAAAUAAAUAUAAACCAAUACAAUAAAUGAGAAUUACACCAACCUAAAGGAAGAUGAAUAAAUGUGAGUAAUUAAGGUUAGAGUCAAUUGCCUCUCAAUUAUUUUAGAAAAGUGCACAAUAAUUAUUGGAUAUACAGAAAUACAUAUAUACAUAAUUACAUACAUUUAUGUAGUUGAUUUAGAUAGAACUACGCGUAGAUGUAACUGCACCAAAGAACACUUUUAUUUACAAUUCUGGUGUAAUUAUAGAACUAUAAUUUAUGAACUUAAGCAACUCGAAGUUCGGCCAAAAGCAUUUCACGAUGCGAGCCAACGCGGAUGAUCCUAAUGUCAAUUUCAAAGUAAAACUUAAGUAAUACUAAUAAUGAAUAUUAAUGAAUACAAAUACCUAGGCUAAGACAUCACACAAUUCAUGUGCAAAUCGAGUUACUUUAGCCCAGAAAAUGCCAAUUAGUUGCAUCGAUGUUUUCCAUAAAUGUCUGCCUCUGAGGCACAUGCAUACUUACCUGGGCGUUGGCAUACAUACUACACACACAUACAUACACAACAUAAAAAAAUUCGCUUUAAAGAGCCACGCCCUCCCAAAAAUACAUAUAUCACAGCGUUGUAUAAAAGCCAAACGAAGCAAUUUCAAAAGCGUGAUUUAGAUAUUUGUCACCACUACAUAAAAAUACAUGAUUCAAAUGUGAUUUUGCUAUAUACAUAUACAUAUACAUAUACAUAUACAUACAUACAUAAAUACAUAAUAAAGAUACAACAAAGUAAAAUAAAUUUAACUGUACUGUGUUAACUGCGAGACGGCUUGUGUUAGCGGUUUUAGGUUUUAGGGUUUUAGGGUUUUAGGGUUUUAGUUUGUGUAGCCAAAUGUUUGAGAAUGUAAGGUAGGCCGUUUAGGGUAGAGUAAUAGAAGAUACAAUACAUACACUACUACUGUCAAUGCCGCCAAAGCCUUGCUCCCUCUGUCUCGCUAAUUCUGCAUUUUAAUUGAACUGUUGUUUAGAAUUCAUUCCACUGACUAAAUGUAUAAAUGGAGUCCAAAUAAAAGCCACCGCCUCUAUUUCUAAAUAACUUAGAGAGAAUUGUGAACAAAUUGUGUCUAAACAUAGUGCAUAUAAAUAUAUAUACAUACUAUAUAUAUAUAUAUACAUAACUACAACUAUUAUUGCAACAACUACAACUAUAUACCAUAAAGCAUACAUAGGUACAUAUGUAUGUAUGAUGUGUGUAACGAUAGGAUAUACAAAAGAGGAGGCCGACAGUAUGCAGUGCAGAUAAGAAUGUAUGCUGCAUACAGCAAAAGCAUACACAGAGAGAGAAGGAGGAGUACAGCAUAUAUACAGAUAUUAUACAUACUUAUAAUAUACAAGCAUACCAACCGCAUGAAUACUCUUGAACUAUAUACAUACGUGUAGAUAUACAUAUACCAUAUACUAUGUAAUACCGAUAUGCUAAUCCUUUUGGACAACUUUUUCGAUGUUGCUACUUCGAACGAUGAACGAUGAACGAUGAACGAUCUUUAACCAAAGAACAAUUGAUAGCCAACAAUGUGUGAACAGAGUGUGGACGGACAUAGAGCAACAAUUAUAAGUAGUCGAAUUUGUAAAUUGUGGUGCAACCUGGUCAAGUAUAAAGCCAAAUUCACAAAGUAUUGAAAUCCGAGACGAACAGCAGUUGCAAAGCAAACCCCAUUUCCAAUCGCUCAGAUAUUCCCAUCUCGAAUUGUCUUGUUUUUUUUUCGUAGCCUGCUUGCCUGCACACACACACACACACACACACACACAGCUAUCUACUCGUAUAAUUUCCAAAAAACUACCCACCAGCUGCUCUUCCAGCAAGAUGCAAACCAAACUAUACAACAAAUCCCUUUCCAAGCAGAUAUCUUGUACGAGUCGAUAUCUACCAAUGAAUGCCAUCACUAUGAGAGAAUCUCUUCUAAACGCUGACUGCAGAAUACCACCACGUUAAAAUUAACUUAAAGUAAAAGUAAAUACGCUAAGGGAGGCCAGGCCAUCUCCACUCGAAUAUAUUUUGAAUGAAAUAUUGAGCGGCAGCAGGCCAGGACGCCGCCAGCCUCUGUAGUGCACCCUCUGUGUGGUGGAGGCUGAGGAUGAGACGGAGGCGGAGGCGGCUCCCAUCAGAAAAACAUACUUAGAAUGUACGAGUAAACAGUAAAUUGAAUAGCAUAUAAAGUAUAUUUUAUUAGUAGCGAAAUUGAACAGCAGUAACAGUAACAGUAAAGAAGGAGUAAAUGUUACGAAUUAAACAAAUUAAUAAUAAUUAUUGUAUUUAGCAGUAAGUGUCUAUGAAGGUCAUGUAAUCUAAUGCAUAAAAUGGCAAUUAAACCAACAAAAUGUUGUUAAGUUUUCCGCUUUAAGUGUCAAAUUAGCCAAAGAUUGUAAUUAUGAUAAAUGCUUAACGAAUAAUAAAUAAAUUAUUUAAAUGGGUGUUAAUAUAAAUGGAUACUUUAAAGGCGAAACCAUUUUAACUGUUGGCGCAUAAUUUUAAUUGUAAAGAAAUUAUUUAGUUAUACAACGUUUUGCUUUAACGAGAGAUUUUAUUUAUCUUUUAAUAAACUAAACAAUACGAUAAUAAUACAAGAAGCUAAGGCACAGAGAUGACUUUAAAAAAGAACAAAUAA